AUAGGAAAUUUGAGUAGUGAUAAUCUUAAGAAAAAUGUAUCUUCGACUGAAAAACGAUUAUCACAGGCUACAUCAAUAGAAAGCAAUGUUACCAUCAGUGAGAAUUACUCUGAACCUGUUAGCUGCCUGGAGAGGAAUGUUUGUCACUAGAUCCAAUAGAAGAACUUGAAAAAAUUAGAGCUGAAAUGAAUCGCCUAAAAGAUGAGAAUGACCAUAU
Long non-coding RNA from Aphis gossypii (cotton aphid), 217 nucleotides. RefSeq lists it as uncharacterized. The transcript has 3 exons. The record is from RefSeq and is a predicted model, not a curated record. NCBI's taxonomy places the organism in Eukaryota, Metazoa, Arthropoda, Insecta, Hemiptera, Aphididae.